AAACUGGGACUGUUGGCCGGGUUCAGUGGCUCACGCCUGUAAUCCCAGCACUUUCGGAGGCCGAGGCAGGCAGAUUACCUGAGGUCGGGACUUCAAGACCAGUCUCACCAAUAUGGUGAAACUCUGUUUCUACUAAAAAUACAAAAUUAGCCAGGCAUGGGGGCGCAUACCUGUAAUCCCAGCUACUCGGGAGGCUGAGGCAGGAAACGCUUGUGGUGAGUCGAGAUCACACCACUGCACUCCAGCCUGGGCAACAAGAGUGAAACUCUGUCUCAAAAAAAAUAAUAACAAAAAAAACCCCAAAAAACUGGGACUAUCUCUGCAAGUGUGAGAUAUACAUGGUCACCAGAGACAUGCAUGAUUACAGCUGGAGGAAUGGUUAAGAGCAAAAACCAGAGGGAGGCCAAGCAUGUGUCUCCUGCCUGUAAUCCCAUGACUUUGGAAGGCUGAGGCGGGAGAAUCACUUGAGCCCAGGAGUUUGAGACAGUCUGGA
Molecule: long non-coding RNA, 493 nt
Filed under: Homo sapiens (human)
Lineage: Eukaryota; Metazoa; Chordata; Mammalia; Primates; Hominidae
Description: non-protein coding lnc-MED1-1:1
Source: RNAcentral